UUGGAUAAUCAAGAAUAAUAUGAUAAUAUUGCAAACAAAAAACCUACCCCAAAACUUUUUGUGCCAAACACAAUUUUGGAGACAUGGUAUGUUUGCUAACCGAAAGGCAAAAAUCGAUUGACCAGAAAUCCAAACGAUUUGAAAAUAGAAAGAGAGAUGUAGCAUUGAUUAAAGAAUUCAAAUUCCGACAAGCUAUUAAGCUAAAUUUGAUAGGACUGCAGAUUCAUUGAAAGUCCAGUCAAGAAGCUACAUCUAUAUGUUUCUAAUCAAAACAACCGGGGACAGCAGAAACAGGAAUCCAUAUUUUAUCAGCAACAAUUCCAAUCAAAUUUAUAGGGUUCCAAUAAUCAAGAUUCGUCAGAAAGCUAUUAGUUUCAUUUAAAGAAUCACAUAGUACUGUGGCAAACAAACAAGAAUAACAAAGUAGCCAAAAUUUGCAGCAGCCAAAAUUCGUCUGCUGUGACAAAGCCUACUGUUACAAGUGAUAUGGCUAUUAGUUUACAUAUAUUAACCAAAUUGCAUGCCUUCAGAGAGUAACCAAAAGCAGUAGCAACAAUUAAGUAUUCCUUAAAAUUUCUCUUAAUUCUCCAAAACCGAAUUGCCAUACUGACAACAACAAAAAUACAGCAGCCCACCACCACCAACAAAAUGACACCAAAGACUAGUGCUAUCUCCACUCCUUGCCAAGCUACCACGGACAACAGAAAUUUGAAUCCAAAAAUCAACGCUUCUGACUCUGUUAUCAUGUUUUCACAGCAUAAUACCAGCAUCUCAUAAUUUUCAAAUAUCAAAAUUCACGUCUAAUAUCAUUAAAACACAAUACUACCAUCUUAAUUUAUCAAAUUAGGAUGAUCUAGGCUCAAAUAUUGAAUCUGCAUCUAAGACUUAUCGAGGCACAAUACCUACAUCCCAACUCAUGGAAUUUCAAAUCAACUUUUGCAUCUAAGACUCAUCUAGGCUCAAAUACUAAAUGUCAAUCCAAUUAUCAUCGAGGCACAUUAUCAUUUUGUCCCAAUAUACCAAAGUUAUGAUUAUUUGGGAUCAAAUAUCAAUUUUCACUUUCAAGGUUCUAGUCUCAAUUAUCGAAUUUUGAAUCUAAGGUCAUCGAGGUUCAAUUCCACCAUCCUAAUUUAUCGAAUUUACGACCAUGUAGGCUCAAAUACUAAAUUCAAUCCAAGAUCAUCGAAUCAUAACACCGUCAUCAAACUUUAUCAAAUUUAGGAAUCCUCUAAGCUCAAACAUCAAAUUUGACGUUCAAAGUCAUCUAAGGACAAUAAUUUCACCCCAAAUUAUAGAACUUAGAUCAUUUAGGCUCAAAUAUCAUUUUUCCCUUUCAACAUCAAGCCACAAUAUCACCGUCCCAAAUUAUCGAAUUUAUGAUCAUUAGGAGGCUCAAAUAUCAAGUUUUGCAUUCAUAGUCAUCGAGGCAACCAUCAUCUUAAUUUAUCAAUUUAGUAUCAUCUAUGAUCAAAUAUCAAAUUUGUAUCUAAGGUCAUCGAGUAACAAUACCAUCAUCCCAAUUUAUUGAAUUUGGGGUCAUCUAAGCUCAAAUACUGAAUUUCUUAUCCAAUGUCAUCGAGAUAUGCUGAAUUUCUUAUCCAAUGUCAUCAAGACAUACCAAAUUUCUUAUCCAAUGUUAUCAAGACAUACUGAAUUUCUUAUCAAACGUCAUCGAGACAUAAUACCAUUCUCCCAAUUUAUUGAAUUAAGAACCAUUUAGGCUCAAAUACCAAUUUUUGCUUUCAAGCCCAAAAGACACAUUAUCAUCAUCCCAAUUUAUCAAAUUAUGAUCACAUAGGAUCAAAUAUGAAGUUUAGCAUCUAUGGUCAUCGAGGCGACAAGCAUCCCAAUAAAUCAUAUUUAAGAUCAUAUAAGUUCAAAUAUGGAAUUCCAUUAAGGGUCAAUGUAACAUGCCAUCGAGGCGACAAGCAUCCCAAUUAUCAUAUUUAAGAUCAUAUAAGUUCAAAUAUGGAAUUCCAUUAAGGGUCAAAGUGACAUGGCAUCGAGGCGACAAGCAUCCCAAUUAUCAUAUUUAAGAUCAUAUAAGUUCAAAUAUGGAAUUCCAUUAAGGGUCAAAGUGACAUGGCAUCGAGGCGACAAGCAUCCCAAUUAUCAUAUUUAAGAUCAAAUAAGUUCAAAUAUGGAAUUCCAUUAAGGGUCAAAGUGACAUGGCAUCGAGGCAACAAGCAUCCCAAUUAUCAUAUUUAAGAUGAUAUAAGUUCAAAUAUGGAAUUCCAUUAAGGGUCAAAGUAACAUGGCAUCGAGGCGACAAGCAUCCCAAUUAUCAUAUUUAAGAUCAAAUAAGUUCAAAUAUGGAAUUCCAUUAAGGGUCAAAAUAACAUGGCAUCGAGGCGACAAGCAUCCCAAUUAUCAUAUUUAAGAUCAUAUAAGUUCAAAUAUGGAAUUCCAUUAAGGGUCAAAGUGAAAUGGCAUCGAGGCAACAAGCAUCCCAAUUAUCAUAUUUAAGAUCAUAUAACUUCAAAUAUGGAAUUCCAUUAAGGAUCAAAGUGACAUGGCAUCGCUUAUUUAAUAUCAAAUAAGUUCAAAUAUGGAAUUCCAUUAAGGGUCAUUGUGACAUGCAUUUCAAGUUAUGAAUAAAUAUUCAUAUUGAAGUUGCAUUUAGGCCAUCAACAUACCAUCCUAAUUUCAUAUGAAUAAAAGAUCCAUAUUGCAAGCAUAUUUUGAGUAAAUAAUUCAUCCCCGUCAUUAAAUUUAGGGUCAUCGAGACAUAGCAUCGUAAGUUAUCUUAAUGAUUCAUAUUACAACUAUUUAUUUUUUUCAACCUUUUCAGGCAUGAAUAACAAUGAAUCAUCAAGAUUAUACAAUCUUGAAUAAUCAAGAAUAAUAUGAUAAUGUUGCAAACAAAAACCCUACCCCAAAACUUUUAGUGCCAAACACAGUUUUGGAGACAAGGUAUGUUUGCUAACCGAAAGGCAAAAAUCGAUUGACCAGAAAUCCAAACAAUAACCCAUUGAAAAUAGAAACAGAGAUGUAGCAUUGAUUAAAGAAUUCAAAUUCCAACAAGCUGCGAAGCUAAACUUGAUAGGACAGCAGAUUCAUUGAAAGUCCAGUCAAGAAGCUACAUCUCUCUGUUUCUAAUCGAAACAACCAGGGACAGCAGAAACAUGAAUUCAUAUAUCAACGCUUGUGACUCUUUGGUCAUAUUUUAGGGGCAACAAUUCCAAUCAAAUUUAUAGGGUUCCAAUAAUCAAGAUUCGUGAGAAAGUUAUUAGUUCCAUUUAAAGAAUCACAGAGUACUGUGGCAAACAAACACGAAUCUUGAUAAAGGACCGAAAAUGGAGAGAGAUGUUAAAUUUGAGAGGAGUGCAGAUUUAUUCGAAGGUCCAAUAAAGAAACUUGGAUACAAAGUUGUGAAGAUUGAAAUCGAGAAAAAGAGAGAUGAAAGUGUACCAAAGCGAGAGAUAGAGUUGAGAGGAUUGUAGUUUCAUCAAGAAACUAAUUCUUUCUUCUUCUUUUUUUCAUAACGCAACUCUCUUUAUCUCCCGCGGGUUCUCGUUCCCGUUAACAAAUAAAACCCUAAUGUG
This 3545-nucleotide long non-coding RNA is filed under the name Cicer arietinum (chickpea). RNAcentral's name for it is "long non-coding RNA (CARI_LNC001627)". The record is from RNAcentral. Lineage: Eukaryota; Viridiplantae; Streptophyta; Magnoliopsida; Fabales; Fabaceae.